AACAGGGGUGCACGUUAUGUGCUGAGACAUACCCUUAUCACCUGAUCUAGUUCGUACUAGCGUAGGGAGUUCA
Molecule: non-coding RNA, 73 nt
Filed under: uncultured Bulleidia sp.
Lineage: Bacteria; Bacillati; Bacillota; Erysipelotrichia; Erysipelotrichales; Erysipelotrichaceae
Description: TPP riboswitch (THI element)
Rfam family: TPP riboswitch aptamer (THI element)
About the family: Vitamin B(1) in its active form thiamin pyrophosphate (TPP) is an essential coenzyme that is synthesised by coupling of pyrimidine and thiazole moieties in bacteria. The previously detected thiamin-regulatory element, thi box was extended, resulting in a new, highly conserved RNA secondary structure, the THI element, which is widely distributed in eubacteria and also occurs in some archaea.
Source: RNAcentral